UAUUCCACAUACGGUUAAAACGAGGCCGGCAGAAGUGUGCUUCAUUUCCGAACUUGACCCCUUAACCUGCACCUCAAGCUCAUUUUUAUUGCUACCCACUGAGCCCUGCUCUCCACGCACCGGUUGCACCAGCCCUGCCGACCCGUACGUUCGCGGUCUCCGCUGGGAUGGCUGGAAAGGAAGCGAGAAAGUCACGGAAGAACUUACCUGAAACGAUCCCAUUCGACAGGAACCCCAGCUGGUAAAGGAGGCAGCAGCAGCAGAUGAGUUUCCGAGGCCGAGCAGGCUAGUGCUGGAGCCCCACAAGACAGACCCACAGCCAGCCGAGAGCCGGGAGUGCUGCCUCUGGACAGGCAGAGGACUGCCCGGCGCGGGCAGGAGAGCUGUGGUGUCCGAGCCGAGGCUCGCCGCCUGCACCCGCGCGGAACGGGCGGAGGCUGGUGUCACAGUCUCAGCAACUUGGUGUGCCAAGCUCCGCACACUCCUCACGCUCCUUAGGACGCACCGCUGAAGGCUCUCACCCGCAGCGGCGCGGGAGGGAAUGAGUAGGGAGAUGGGAAGACACGACUAGAGAGUUGCUGAAUGCGUACUAUGAAUAGAAAUACUAUGGAAUUGGAAGAUCAGGAGUUUUCCUGACAUAUAAGAUCUGUGGCAACCUCAACAAUUUACACCGUAUUAACAAAACGUGGUCAUGCCAAGCUGGUCAUCCUGUGAUGAUGUGUACGUCAGUGUGGGAAGCAUGCAGAUUUUUUAAUCUUUUUUAGAGCUCCUUUUGCCCUGCUGCCAAGGGCUACCCAUGGUCAUGUAGGACCUUCAUGGUGUGGUAUAAUCUUUUGCCAGGCUUUACCCAGCCCAGAAGAAUAGAUUUGAAAGUAGUGCAGAGACUGGCUUUCAGACUCCUAUUAUCAGCCUUAUUGGUUUUCAUGUUUUGCCAAAUACAGCCUAAGCAGUGAGAGAUGUAUUGAGUUCCUCACAACAGAACAUGUUGAAACAUAAGCUACACAUUUAAUUGGAAGAAGGCAAUAUAGACAGGAUUCAGCCUUUACUGCUUUGCUUUUAAGCUCAAAUAAUAGUGGUAUUUGGAAAACAUCACAAAGCUCUGCAGUUAUUUUCCAUAGAUGUUGACUUUUUUUUUUCCUAGAAGUGAUUAUAAUAUUGCCAGUUGAUCCUGAGAUUACGCAUGUGUUGAGGAAAUACUAAUCAGAAGUAUGUCAGUCCUUCUUGCUUCACAA
RNAcentral lists this long non-coding RNA (1232 nucleotides) under Homo sapiens (human). RNAcentral describes it as "HSALNT0329450". The record is from RNAcentral. Lineage: Eukaryota; Metazoa; Chordata; Mammalia; Primates; Hominidae.